Molecule: unclassified non-coding RNA, 1457 nt
Filed under: Caenorhabditis elegans
Lineage: Eukaryota; Metazoa; Nematoda; Chromadorea; Rhabditida; Rhabditidae
Description: Non-coding transcript of protein-coding gene F28F8.7b
Source: RNAcentral
GUUAAACAUCUAUUGGUGGUUUCGAGACGAUUCGCGUCAGAAAUUGAAAUUUCUCGAAAAAAAUGCUCCGACGCCUACAUAUUUCGAAGCCUCAGUUUGCCAAAAAAGCGAUCAUCUGGUUGGAACACGGCGAUGAGGAGAGCAUUGCACCGAAUAUUCUCGAAACCGAAGGCGAAUCGAGUGGCGAGGAAAAUGUAGACAAUCCACUCAUCGCAAAAAAAUCCAUUCGGAAAAUCACACCGGCUCGAUCAUUCGAGAAAAAGAAGAAUCCCUUGCAGCCUUUGAACAUCAAAAAUGUGAAAAAAGUCAGGAAGAAUUCCUCGGAUUCCGUUUGCUCGAGUAAAAAGAGCGGAAAACAGGCUUCAGUGGACCAGGUUCCGCCGCUCCUGCAACGAGCUCUGUGUACGAAAAGCCGUUCUCCGAAAAAUUCGGAAAAUUUUCUAUAUCUCGAGAAUGCAGUAGGACGUGAACACCAAGCCCAUGUCGGACCAUUCAAAAAACUCCGAGGACGCGAUGAGGAGGAGGAUCGAGAUGAGAGAAUGUGGUGUCCGCCUGAUGAUGAUCAAAACUUGGACUACGACCUGCUCAAAAACGCGUACUGGAGAGCAAUUUGGCGCCAAUUCGAAAAUCAUAUUCCGAUGGAGGUUGCACUUCAAUGGUUGAUGAUCAACGACUAUUCAAUUGAGAAGAGCCUUGAUUCCAUUGAUCAAGUACUUCCAGAUCUUCCACGUGCUUUCCAGCCACUUCGUGUUGUGCAAAUUGAGCGGUUCAAAGAUGCUCUCAAGAAGAUGAAAAAAGGGCCAAUUUUGCGAGAAAUUCAGAAGAAUUGUAUGCCCAACUACAACCUCGACGAGAUCCAUCACUUCUGCCACGCAUUCCAACAUCACAUCAUGGAAAAAACCAGCAAAUCCUGCCACUGCAACGAGCCGCUCUGUGAGGACUUGGAGUUUCAACCUCGAUGGGCUUGUCAGAAUUGCAACAAAGCGUUGAAGUAUUACGAUCCAAUUCCCGACGAUACUAAGCUCUGUCUGAUCUGCUCUACUUAUCAAGGAAUUACUGGAAACACCCGUCCAUCGAAAGCCACUGUGUUCAGCAAGGAAGAAGCCAACAAGGUUAUUUCUUGGAAUACGCUGAUGCGAACAUCGUCGGGCUCACUGUCACGGGAAGAGUUUGAGAAGAUCUACGCAUUGAAGAGAUCUGAGCUCACAAAGGAAGAGAUCGAAAUUCUCGGACACAACGACAAUAUCAAUCGUCAUUUGGCUGUGGAGAAGCGUAUUUCUGCAAUGUCAACGUCUGAAAAGCUGAAGCCAUAUUCUAUCCCGCUUUUCCAAAAAUGCGGUUAUCAAAAUGGACAUCACAUGAUCGUUGAAGUUUGCCCAGGAGUAGCGGAAAAGCUCAAGACGAUGAUUGUUUCGGUGAAAAAUUCGAAAAAUUUCGAACGAGUUCAAAGACCAUAA